This 440-nucleotide ribosomal RNA is filed under the name uncultured bacterium. Its description in RNAcentral is "partial 16S ribosomal RNA". It matches the Rfam family "Bacterial small subunit ribosomal RNA", at positions 338 to 795 of the family's 1533-position model. The record is from RNAcentral.
CCUACGGGGAGCAGCAGUAGGGAAUAUUGCUCAAUGGGGGAAACCCUGAAGCAGCAACGCCGCGUGGAGGAUGAAGGUUUUCGGAUUGUAAACUCCUUUUGUUAGAGAAGAUAAUGACGGUAUCUAACGAAUAAGCACCGGCUAACUCCGUGCCAGCAGCCGCGGUAAUACGGAGGGUGCAAGCGUUACUCGGAAUCACUGGGCGUAAAGGGCGCGUAGGCGGGAUAGCAAGUCAGAUGUGAAAUCCUAUGGCUUAACCAUAGAACUGCAUUUGAAACUGUUAUUCUAGAGUAUGGGAGAGGUAGGUGGAAUUCUUGGUGUAGGGGUAAAAUCCGUAGAGAUCAAGAGGAAUACUCAUUGCGAAGGCGACCUGCUAGAACAUAACUGACGCUGAUGCGCGAAAGCGUGGGGAGCAAACAGGAUUAGAUACCCGGGUAGUC